Molecule: ribosomal RNA, 468 nt
Filed under: uncultured bacterium
Lineage: Bacteria
Description: partial 16S ribosomal RNA
Rfam family: Bacterial small subunit ribosomal RNA
Source: RNAcentral
GACGAACGCUGGCGGCGUGCUUAACACAUGCAAGUCGAACGGAAAGGCCCUGCUUUUGUGGGGUGCUCGAGUGGCGAACGGGGGAGUAACACGUGAGUAACCUGCCCUUGACUUUGUGAUAACUUCAGGAAACUGGGGCUAAUAUCGGGUAGGAGCUCCUGCUGCAUGGGGGGGGUUGGAAAGUUUCGGCGGUUGUGGAUGGACUCGCGGCUUAUCAGCUUGUUGGUGGGGUAGUGGCUUACCAAGGCUUUGACGGGUAGCCGGCCUGUGAGGGUGACCGGCCACAUUGGGACUGAGAUACGGCCCAGACUCCUACGGGAGGCAGCAGUGGGGAAUAUUGCACAAUGGGCGGAAGCCUGAUGCAGCAACGCCGCGUGCGGGAUGACGGCCUUCGGGUUGUAAACCGCUUUCGCCUGUGACGAAGCGUGAGUGACGGUAAUGGGUAAAGAAGCACCGGCUAACUACGUG